RNAcentral lists this ribosomal RNA (241 nucleotides) under uncultured bacterium. RNAcentral's name for it is "partial 16S ribosomal RNA". It matches the Rfam family "Bacterial small subunit ribosomal RNA", at positions 249 to 504 of the family's 1533-position model. The record is from RNAcentral.
UUGGUGGGGUAACGGCCCACCAAGGCGACGAUCAGUAGCCGGACUGAGAGGUUGACCGGCCACAUUGGGACUGAGAUACGGCCCAGACUCCUACGGGAGGCAGCAGUGGGGAAUAUUGGGCAAUGGGGGGAACCCUGAACGAGCAAUGCCGCGUGAAGGAAGAAGGCUUUCGGGUUGUAAACUUCUUUUGUCGGGGACGAAACAAAUGACGGUACCUGACGAAUAAGCCACGGCUAACUAC